GCCAGUGGUGAACUCCACAUACGCAUCCUUUGCUGAGGAUACGGUUAACGGAGCGCAAGCGACGUUCAACCUCAAAAGAAGCAGAGGGGGCUUAGUGGUGGGGUGACUGCGUACCUUUUGUAUAAUGGGUCAGCGACUUAUAUUCUGUAGCAAGGUUAACCGUAUAGGGGAGCCGGAGGGAAACCGAGUCUUAACCGGGCGUUAAGUUGCAGGGUAUAGACCCGAAACCCGGUGAUCUAGCCAUGGGCAGGUUGAAGGUUGGGUAACACUAACUGGAGGACCGAACCGACUAAUGUUGAAAAAUUAGCGGAUGACCUGUGGCUGGGGGUGAAAGGCCAAUCAAACCGGGAGAUAGCUGGUUCUCCCCGAAAGCUAUUUAGGUAGCGCCUCGUGAAUUCAUCUCCGGGGGUAGAGCACUGUUUCGGCUAGGGGGCCAUCCCGGCUUACCAACCCGAUGCAAACUGCGAAUACCGGAGAAUGUUAUCACGGGAGACACACGGCGGGUGCUAACGUCCGUCGUGAAGAGGGAAACAACCCAGACCGCCAGCUAAGGUCCCAAAGUCAUGGUUAAGUGGGAAACGAUGUGGGAAGGCCCAGACAGCCAGGAUGUUGGCUUAGAAGCAGCCAUCAUUUAAAGAAAGCGUAAUAGCUCACUGGUCGAGUCGGCCUGCGCGGAAGAUGUAACGGGGCUAAACCAUG
RNAcentral lists this ribosomal RNA (699 nucleotides) under Salmonella enterica subsp. enterica serovar Miami. RNAcentral's name for it is "partial 23S ribosomal RNA". The stretch from base 79 to 699 matches the Rfam family "Bacterial large subunit ribosomal RNA", at positions 568 to 1191 of the family's 2925-position model. Lineage: Bacteria; Pseudomonadati; Pseudomonadota; Gammaproteobacteria; Enterobacterales; Enterobacteriaceae. The record is from RNAcentral.